UCGACGAUGAUCCGGUGCUUGCACCGGGGAUUAGUGGCGAACGGGUGAGUAACACGUGAGUAACCUGCCCUUAACUCUGGGAUAAGCCUGGGAAACUGGGUCUAAUACCGGAUAUGACUGAUCAUCGCAUGGUGGUUGGUGGAAAGCUUUUUGUGGUUUUGGAUGGACUCGCGGCCUAUCAGCUUGUUGGUGAGGUAAUGGCUUACCAAGGCGACGACGGGUAGCCGGCCUGAGAGGGUGACCGGCCACACUGGGACUGAGACACGGCCCAGACUCCUACGGGAGGCAGCAGUGGGGAAUAUUGCACAAUGGGCGCAAGCCUGAUGCAGCGACGCCGCGUGAGGGAUGACGGCCUUCGGGUUGUAAACCUCUUUCAGUAGGGAAGAAGCGAAAGUGACGGUACCUGCAGAAGAAGCGCCGGCUAACUACGUGCCAGCAGCCGCGGUAAUACGUAGGGCGCAAGCGUUAUCCGGAAUUAUUGGGCGUAAAGAGCUCGUAGGCGGUUUGUCGCGUCUGCCGUGAAAGUCCGGGGCUCAACUCCGGAUC
Molecule: ribosomal RNA, 546 nt
Filed under: bacterium 81-L049641-122-013-A11
Lineage: Bacteria
Description: bacterial SSU rRNA
Rfam family: Bacterial small subunit ribosomal RNA
Source: RNAcentral